GAAUCUGGCUUCAGGUCGGGGACAACCACUGGAAACGGUGGCUAAUACCGGAUGUGCCGCAAGGUAAAAGGCUUGCCGCCUGAAGAUGAGCUCGCGUCUGAUUAGCUAGUAGGUGUGGUAAGAGCGCACCUAGGCGACGAUCAGUAGCUGGUCUGAGAGGAUGAUCAGCCACACUGGGACUGAGACACGGCCCAGACUCCUACGGGAGGCAGCAGUGGGGAAUUUUCCGCAAUGGGCGAAAGCCUGACGGAGCAAUACCGCGUGAGGGAGGAAGGCUCUUGGGUUGUAAACCUCUUUUCUCAGGGAAGAACACAAUGACGGUACCUGAGGAAUCAGCAUCGGCUAACUCCGUGCCAGCAGCCGCGGUAAUACGGAGGAUGCAAGCGUUAUCCGGAAUGAUUGGGCGUAAAGCGUCCGCAGGUGGCUGUGUAAGUCUGCUGUUAAAGAGUGAGGCUCAACCUCAUAAAAGCAGUGGAAACUACACAGCUAGAGUGCGUUCGGGGCAGAGGGAAUUCCUGGUGUAGCGGUGAAAUGCGUAGAUAUCAGGAAGAACACCGGUGGCGAAAGCGCUCUGCUAGGCCGCAACU
RNAcentral lists this ribosomal RNA (587 nucleotides) under Nostoc sp. MZ21.6SOIL. RNAcentral's name for it is "bacterial SSU rRNA". It matches the Rfam family "Bacterial small subunit ribosomal RNA", at positions 122 to 741 of the family's 1533-position model. The record is from RNAcentral. Lineage: Bacteria; Bacillati; Cyanobacteriota; Cyanophyceae; Nostocales; Nostocaceae.